CAGUCGCCGCGGGAAUACGAAGGGUGCAAGCGUUAAUCGGAAUUACUGGGCGUAAAGCGUGCGUAGGCGGUUUGUUAAGUCUGUUGUGAAAUCCCCGGGCUCAACCUGGGAAUGGCAAUGGAUACUGGCAAGCUAGAGUGUGUCAGAGGAUGGUGGAAUUCCCGGUGUAGCGGUGAAAUGCGCAGAGAUCGGGAGGAACAUCAGUGGCGAAGGCGGCCAUCUGGGACAACACUGACGCUGAGGCACGAAAGCGUGGGGAGCAAACAGGAUUAGAUACCCGCGUAGUCCCUGUCUCUUAUAC
RNAcentral lists this ribosomal RNA (301 nucleotides) under uncultured bacterium. Its description in RNAcentral is "partial 16S ribosomal RNA". It matches the Rfam family "Bacterial small subunit ribosomal RNA", at positions 509 to 807 of the family's 1533-position model. The record is from RNAcentral.